This 20-nucleotide ribosomal RNA is filed under the name Laelaps muricola. RNAcentral's name for it is "partial 28S ribosomal RNA". Lineage: Eukaryota; Metazoa; Arthropoda; Arachnida; Mesostigmata; Laelapidae. The record is from RNAcentral.
UUUAAGCACAUUACUAAGGA